Molecule: ribosomal RNA, 1345 nt
Filed under: uncultured bacterium
Lineage: Bacteria
Description: partial 16S ribosomal RNA
Rfam family: Bacterial small subunit ribosomal RNA
Source: RNAcentral
GACGAACGCUUGCGGCGUGCUUAACACAUGCAAGUGGAGCGGAAAGGCCCUGCUUUUGUGGGGUGCUCGAGUGGCGAACGGGUGAGUAACACGUGAGUAACCUGCCCUUGACUUUGGGAUAACUUCAGGAAACUGGGGCUAAUACCGGAUAGGAGCUCCUGCUGCAUGGUGGGGGUUGGAAAGUUUCGGCGGUUGGGGAUGGACUCGCGGCUUAUCAGCUUGUUGGUGGGGUAGUGGCUUACCAAGGCUUUGACGGGUAGCCGGCCUGAGAGGGUGACCGGCCACAUUGGGACUGAGAUACGGCCCAGACUCCUACGGGAGGCAGCAGUGGGGAAUAUUGCACAAUGGGCGGAAGCCUGAUGCAGCAACGCCGCGUGCGGGAUGACGGCCUUCGGGUUGUAAACCGCUUUCGCCUGUGACGAAGCGUGAGUGACGGUAAUGGGUAAAGAAGCACCGGCUAACUACGUGCCAGCAGCCGCGGUGAUACGUAGGGUGCGAGCGUUGUCCGGAUUUAUUGGGCGUAAAGGGCUCGUAGGUGGUUGAUCGCGUCGGAAGUGUAAUCUUGGGGCUUAACCCUGAGCGUGCUUUCGAUACGGGUUGACUUGAGGAAGGUAGGGGAGAAUGGAAUUCCUGGUGGAGCGGUGGAAUGCGCAGAUAUCAGGAGGAACACCAGUGGCGAAGGCGGUUCUCUGGGCCUUUCCUGACGCUGAGGAGCGAAAGCGUGGGGAGCGAACAGGCUUAGAUACCCUGGUAGUCCACGCUGUAAACGGUGGGUACUAGGUGUGGGGUCCAUUCCACGGGUUCCGUGCCGUAGCUAACGCUUUAAGUACCCCGCCUGGGGAGUACGGCCGCAAGGCUAAAACUCAAAGGAAUUGACGGGGCCCCGCACAAGCGGCGGAGCAUGCGGAUUAAUUCGAUGCAACGCGUAGAACCUUACCUGGGUUUGACAUGGAUCGGGAGUGCUCAGAGAUGGGUGUGCCUCUUUUGGGGUCGGUUCACAGGUGGUGCAUGCCUGUCGUCAGCUCGUGUCGUGAGAUGUUGGGUUAAGUCCCGCAACGAGCGCAACCCUUGUUCACUGUUGCCAGCACGUUAUGGUGGGGACUCAGUGGAGACCGCCGGGGUCAACUCGGAGGAAGGUGGGGAUGACGUCAAGUCAUCAUGCCCCUUAUGUCCAGGGCUUCACGCAUGCUACAAUGGCUGGUACAGAGAGUGGCGAGCCUGUGAGGGUGAGCGAAUCUCGGAAAGCCGGUCUCAGUUCGGAUUGGGUCUGCAACUCGACCUCAUGAAGUCGGAGUCGCUAGUAAUCGCAGAUCAGCAACGCUGCGGUGAAUACGUUCCCGGGGCU